AAGACCUUGCGCUUUUGGAGCGGCCGAUGCCUGAUUAGCUAGUUGGUGGGGUAAUGGCCUACCAAAGCUUCGAUCAGUAGCUGGUCUGAGAGGACGGCCAGCCACACUGGGACUGAGACACGGCCCAGACUCCUACGGGAGGCAGCAGUGGGGAAUUUUGGACAAUGGGCGCAAGCCUGAUCCAGCCAUGCCGCGUGAGUGAAGAAGGCCUUCGGGUUGUAAAGCUCUUUCAGCCGGGAAGAAAAGGUUGCGAUUAAUAAUCGCAAUUUAUGACGGUACCGGAAGAAGAAGCACCGGCUAACUACGUGCCAGCAGCCGCAGUAAUACGUAGGGUGCGAGCGUUAAUCGGAAUUACUGGGCGUAAAGGGUGCGCAGGCGGUUUUGUAAGUCAGAUGUGAAAUCCCCGGGCUUAACCUGGGAACU
RNAcentral lists this ribosomal RNA (423 nucleotides) under uncultured bacterium. RNAcentral describes it as "bacterial SSU rRNA". It matches the Rfam family "Bacterial small subunit ribosomal RNA", at positions 207 to 622 of the family's 1533-position model. The record is from RNAcentral.